Molecule: ribosomal RNA, 528 nt
Filed under: uncultured soil bacterium
Lineage: Bacteria
Description: bacterial SSU rRNA
Rfam family: Bacterial small subunit ribosomal RNA
Source: RNAcentral
AGAGUUUGAUCAUGGCUCAGGACGAACGCUGGCGGCGCGCUUAACACAUGCAAGUCGAGCGAGAACCAGGCUUCGGCCCUGGGGACAGCGGCGAACGGGUGAGUAACACGUGGAUAACCUGCCCUCGGCACCGGGAUAGCCCGGGGAAACCCGGAUUAAUACCGGAUAGCCCUUCCGACUUUCGAGUCGGUCCGAAAAGGUAGCUUCSSSSUCCGGCCGAGGAUGGGUCCGCGGCGGAUUAGCUUGUUGGUGGGGUAACGGCCUACCAAGGCUUCGAUCCGUAGCUGGUCUGAGAGGACGAUCAGCCACACUGGGACUGAGACACGGCCCAGACUCAUACGGGAGGCAGCAGUGGGGAAUCUUGCGCAAUGGGCGAAAGCCUGACGCAGCGACGCCGCGUGAGGGAGGAAGGCCUUCGGGUUGUAAACCUCUUUCAGGAGGGACGAAGCUACUCGGGUUAAUAGCCCAGAGGGUGACGGUACCUCCAGAAGAAGCCCCGGCUAACUACGUGCCAGCAGCCGCGGUAAU